Molecule: ribosomal RNA, 497 nt
Filed under: uncultured bacterium
Lineage: Bacteria
Description: partial 16S ribosomal RNA
Rfam family: Bacterial small subunit ribosomal RNA
Source: RNAcentral
GAUGAACGCUGGCGGCGUGCCUAAUACAUGCAAGUCGAGCGAACAGAUGAGGAGCUUGCUCCUCUGACGUUAGCGGCGGACGGGUGAGUAACACGUGGAUAGCCUACCUAUAAGACUGGGAUAACUUCGGGAAACCGGAGCUAAUACCGGAUAAUAUAUUGAACCGCAUGGUUCAAUAGUGAAAGACGGUUUUGCUGUCACUUAUAGAUGGAUCCGCGCCGCAUUAGCUAGUUGGUAAGGUAACGGCUUACCAAGGCAACGAUGCGUAGCCGACCUGAGAGGGUGAUCGGCCACACUGGAACUGAGACACGGUCCAGACUCCUACGGGAGGCAGCAGUAGGGAAUCUUCCGCAAUGGGCGAAAGCCUGACGGAGCAACGCCGCGUGAGUGAUGAAGGCCUUCGGAUCGUAAAACUCUGUUAUUAGGGAAGAACAAAUGUGUAAGUAACUAUGCACGUCUUGACGGUACCUAAUCAGAAAGCCACGGCUAACUACGUG